Molecule: long non-coding RNA, 319 nt
Filed under: Lathyrus oleraceus (garden pea)
Lineage: Eukaryota; Viridiplantae; Streptophyta; Magnoliopsida; Fabales; Fabaceae
Description: Pisum sativum (pea) long non-coding RNA (PSAT_LNC010679)
Source: RNAcentral
GAGAAGUGAAAAAUAAUGUUAUCACUUUAUUUAAAGGGUUGAAAGAGUCUUGUUUGGAAUUGUGUGGGGUUGAAUAAUUAUGUUUGUAAUAUUUCAGAAGUUGGCAGAAAAAGAAAGAAAAAUAGAAAAGAAAAAAAUGAAUGAAAAAAUAGAAGGAUGUCAAUACAUACUCCUCAUAAAAAAAUGAAUAAAAAGAGAAAGGAGAAGAGAAAAUAAUUGAUAUAGAGUUGUUCAAGUGAAUGAAAUAUUUUGUAAAUUCAACUCCUGCAGUUUCUUUCAAGUCUCUUUUAUCUCUUUGAAUUUUAGCCCAGUCCCUUAG